CCUACGGGAGGCAGCAGUGAGGAAUAUUGGUCAAUGGACGAGAGUCUGAACCAGCCAAGUAGCGUGAAGGAUGACUGCCCUAUGGGUUGUAAACUUCUUUUAUAUGGGAAUAAAAUGUUCCACGUGUGGGAUUUUGUAUGUACCAUAUGAAUAAGGAUCGGCUAACUCCGUGCCAGCAGCCGCGGUAAUACGGAGGAUCCGAGCGUUAUCCGGAUUUAUUGGGUUUAAAGGGAGCGUAGGUGGAUUGUUAAGUCAGUUGUGAAAGUUUGCGGCUCAACCGUAAAAUUGCAGUUGAAAAUGGCAGUCUUGAGUACAGUAGAGGUGGGCGGAAUGCGUGGUGUAGCGGUGAAAUGCUUAGAUAUCACGAAGAACUCCGAUUGCGAAGGCAGUUCACUGGACUGCAACUGACACUGAGGCUCGAAAGUGUGGGUAUCAAACAGGAUUAGAUACCCCGGUAGUC
This 460-nucleotide ribosomal RNA is filed under the name uncultured bacterium. RNAcentral's name for it is "partial 16S ribosomal RNA". It matches the Rfam family "Bacterial small subunit ribosomal RNA", at positions 338 to 795 of the family's 1533-position model. The record is from RNAcentral.